AAGUCGUAACAAGGUUUCCGUAGGUGAACCUGCGGAAGGAUCAUUAAAGAUUCGGGCUUCGGCCCAACCUCUUCAGCUGUGCGCUUCGGCUGCACGCUGUCGAAACCUCUCACACCUGUGCACCUUUUCGGUUGCGGCGUUCGCGUCGCUUCCGCUUUACACAUUUUACUACAAAAGUCCAGAAUGUCAAAACUAUAAACAUAAUACAACUUUCAACAACGGAUCUCUUGGCUCUC
RNAcentral lists this unclassified non-coding RNA (236 nucleotides) under Exidia glandulosa. Its description in RNAcentral is "partial internal transcribed spacer region". The stretch from base 1 to 46 matches the Rfam family "Eukaryotic small subunit ribosomal RNA", at positions 1786 to 1831 of the family's 1831-position model. Lineage: Eukaryota; Fungi; Basidiomycota; Agaricomycetes; Auriculariales; Exidiaceae. The record is from RNAcentral.